Long non-coding RNA from Mus musculus (house mouse), 286 nucleotides. RefSeq annotates it as predicted gene, 33947. The record is from RefSeq and is a predicted model, not a curated record. The transcript has 2 exons. NCBI's taxonomy places the organism in Eukaryota, Metazoa, Chordata, Mammalia, Rodentia, Muridae.
CGUCUAUUUUCUGGGUUUUAGGGGUGGGGGUGGGGAGGUUGACAUUGCCCAGCCUCUUUUCUGAAUUCGAUCUGCACGCCAUCUCUCCAUUUUCCCCAGGAGAGUCAGCCGCAGGAAAACCACAGAAUAAACAGAUAGAGGAGGAAGACUGAGCGAGCUCAGGGGAAAGACAGCACAGCCUCAAGGCUUAAAUCUGUUUGCUGUUCGAAGGACUCUUCCUGAGUAGUGUCUGAAAGCCUACCUGUUGAUUGCUCUGGGUGUGGGGCUGGGGUUGGGCAGGGAAUGG